AUCCAACUGACGAGUCCCAAACAGGACGAAACAAGCGUACUGGAU
Non-coding RNA from Schistosoma mansoni, 45 nucleotides. Lineage: Eukaryota; Metazoa; Platyhelminthes; Trematoda; Strigeidida; Schistosomatidae. The record is from Rfam.